Molecule: transfer RNA, 77 nt
Filed under: Bacillus thuringiensis
Lineage: Bacteria; Bacillati; Bacillota; Bacilli; Caryophanales; Bacillaceae
Also listed under: 3 other names
Description: tRNA-Met
Rfam family: tRNA
About the family: Transfer RNA (tRNA) molecules are approximately 80 nucleotides in length. Their secondary structure includes four short double-helical elements and three loops (D, anti-codon, and T loops). Further hydrogen bonds mediate the characteristic L-shaped molecular structure. tRNAs have two regions of fundamental functional importance: the anti-codon, which is responsible for specific mRNA codon recognition, and the 3' end, to which the tRNAs corresponding amino acid is attached (by aminoacyl-tRNA synthetases). tRNAs cope with the degeneracy of the genetic code in two manners: having more than one tRNA (with a specific anti-codon) for a particular amino acid; and 'wobble' base-pairing, i.e. permitting non-standard base-pairing at the 3rd anti-codon position.
Source: RNAcentral
CGUGGGGUGGAGCAGCACGGUAGCUCGUCGGGCUCAUAACCCGAAGGUCGCAGGUUCAAAUCCUGUCCCCGCAACCA